UACGGAGGGAGCUAGCGUUAUUCGGAAUUACUGGGCGUAAAGCGCGCGUAGGCGGCUUUGUAAGUUAGAGGUGAAAGCCCGGAGCUCAACUCCGGAACUGCCUUUAAAACUGCAUCGCUUGAAUCCAGGAGAGGUGAGUGGAAUUCCGAGUGUAGAGGUGAAAUUCGUAGAUAUUCGGAAGAACACCAGUGGCGAAGGCGGCUCACUGGACUGGUAUUGACGCUGAGGUGCGAAAGCGUGGGGAGCAAACAGG
Molecule: ribosomal RNA, 253 nt
Filed under: uncultured bacterium
Lineage: Bacteria
Description: partial 16S ribosomal RNA
Rfam family: Bacterial small subunit ribosomal RNA
Source: RNAcentral